RNAcentral lists this ribosomal RNA (448 nucleotides) under Salmonella enterica subsp. enterica serovar Typhimurium. RNAcentral's name for it is "partial 23S ribosomal RNA". It matches the Rfam family "Bacterial large subunit ribosomal RNA", at positions 137 to 623 of the family's 2925-position model. The record is from RNAcentral. Lineage: Bacteria; Pseudomonadati; Pseudomonadota; Gammaproteobacteria; Enterobacterales; Enterobacteriaceae.
GAUUCGUCACACUAUCAUUAACUGAAUCCAUAGGUUAAUGAGGCGAACCGGGGGAACUGAAACAUCUAAGUACCCCGAGGAAAAGAAAUCAACCGAGAUUCCCCCAGUAGCGGCGAGCGAACGGGGAGGAGCCCAGAGCCUGAAUCAGCAUGUGUGUUAGUGGAAGCGUCUGGAAAGGCGCGCGAUACAGGGUGACAGCCCCGUACACAAAAGCGCAUGUGCUGUGAGCUCGAUGAGUAGGGCGGGACACGUGGUAUCCUGUCUGAAUAUGGGGGGACCAUCCUCCAAGGCUAAAUACUCCUGACUGACCGAUAGUGAACCAGUACCGUGAGGGAAAGGCGAAAAGAACCCCGGCGAGGGGAGUGAAAAAGAACCUGAAACCGUGUACGUACAAGCAGUGGGAGCACCCUUCGGGGUGUGACUGCGUACCUUUUGUAUAAUGGGUCAG